UACUUAACGGUAGGGGGUUAAUUGGCCACUUUAACAUAGUUUAGGGGGUCAAUUGGCUGAAAAAAUAGUUCAAGGGGGAAAUUGAAACUCACGUGAUAGUUUAGGGGGUUAAAUGACAGUUUACUCUUUAACUAAAUGAGCCUUUUUCUAAAAUAACGGGCAGGUGAGCCUUGCUCACCAUAAACUGGCGACGUGAGACAUUGAAACUUAAGGAAAAAUGCUGGAUAAUAAUCAACCAGAAAUAAAACAUUAUCUUUCAUUCACCCCUUGUCGUUUACUGCCUGAAUACUCCUCUCAAAUGAAACACCAUUUUGAGGAACAAGAUAUGAUAAUGGUAAUGACUUAGAGUCUAAGAAAUUAUUUAUACAUAGAGAUUUAUGUUCUAUGUACAUAAAACAUCUUGAAACACUUUAUCUUCUAGAGAAUUUAGUGUAAACACUCAUUCAAUUCUACUAUUUUUGUGGGAAUUAGGAGGGAUAAGUUUUCUUUGUGAUUUAUGUAUCUUCUACUUUCAUUUUGACAAAAUAUGCAAGUUGUCACCCGUAUUUUCAUUCAACAUCCAUUGAAUUUAGCGAGUUGUUCAAGUCAAGCCAAUUUUAAACACUAGAUGAGGCCUUGAAUAAUACAUUUCAUAAUAAUAAUCACUUUAAUCAAGUGGGUUGCUUGGCAAGACUAGCAUUCAAUUACCUUUAAGUUAGUUCUCAACCCACUCAUCAUUUGUUAGUCAACUUUGCAAUGAUUUGAAUGUCAAGCCCAUUAACUCAAUUACCUCUACAUACACAUGGUUCAAAUAUUAAAUUGUUCGCCUGGCAAUUAUCUACCAUGCUUUCCGGGAAUCCAAACAGAUGACAUAUAUUAUGAUAAGUGACUUUCUUACUUUGUAAAAGGAGAAUGUAGGUAUAUCGUGAAGGAAAUAUUUGUGAAAAUAAGUUCAUUUGAGCAAUAUCUACAACAUGAAAUUAACAAUUAAAGGCGGAAUCAUGCUUGUAUGCACUCAAAAACAGAAUUUUACCCAUGAAAUUCAAGGCCUAGUGAGUGUGGUGAACCAAGACUCAAUUCAAGAACAAAGUGAGUUGAGAAAUAUUAUACCUUUGUUGAUUCCUCUUUGCAUAAGUAAAGGCUAAUCACCCAAGAGAUAGGGCCUUCAUUCCUUACUUCUUAGCUCCAUGAAUUUCUUGGAUGAGGAUGGUAGAAUGGAUUCUCCAAGUUCCCAAAAUAGAAAACCUCUAAGUCUCCACACCAAGGAGAGCAUUGAUGAAGAGAUGAGUGACCUAGAGGAAGUAAGAUUGCUAGCUAAUUUCCUCUAGGGUGGCCGGCCUCUUAGAGAGAAAAUGAGAGCAUUGUGUUCUCAUCUUUUCUCCAAAAGAAACCCUAAUGAUGAAAUGUUAUAAAGUUGUUUAUAUAGUCCCUUCAAUUAAGUGACAAAAGAACCAAAACCCUUCAUCCUCUAAUUUGGCCGGCCUUAAGGGUUUAUUGGGCUUUCAAACCCUUUGUGUAUUCAAGUUGUCGUACAACUUGAGUUAAUGGGCUUGACAUUCAAAUCUUAUUGGGCCUUGUGGCCCAAAACUAACCCGAGGUCUAUAACAAACUUAUUCGUUUGAUUAAUUAACAUAUUAAUUAAUCCUUGCCAUAAAUAAUUAAACCAUUUAAUUAACCUUACUCAUAUCCGUUAUUUCUUCAAUCUCUACCUUACAUGGUGUAUGAUCCAUUAGGUUCCUUUUAGCAAGGUAGUGGGCAAUUAGAACUCUUCAAAUCGAUUGUGAAUUGAAACUUACUUUCAAUUCUCCCUUUAAUGAUUACACACCUUUAGGGCUUCUACAAACCAUGAGUGACACCUAGCAGUAUGUCAUGGCUACCCAAGCUAAUCAGAAGAGGUGGAUAACCUAGUCAGUUUAGGAUUACAAUGCAAUAUUGUCUUUCUCUAAUACAAUACUCUUGACCACAUUGUUUGGUUUGAUAGUUUAUUCAUAUCUACUAUCCAAUGUGAUUCUCUUACUUAUAUGAUUACCUUGAAUGUGAUUCGGAACGACUUCCUAAAUCUCAUUCAUACUUUGGCCAGAGAUUCUUAAUCAUAUCAUAGACUAUUCUCUCUCAAACGGUUUGAAGGUUAGAGAUCCCUUACUACGCAUUCACUUGCCUCCAUGGCUAUGUGGCUUAAACCUAACUAUGCCGUGGACACCUUCUAAUGGAGUGACUUUGACAUAGUCAAAGAUCAAGGACCUAACCACAAGAUAACUAUGAUGCCUCAGGUCAAAGGAUUACUUUGCAUUAUCCCAAGCAUAAGUUCUCAUGUGACAUGUGUUUAUACCAUAUUUAGGGCCUCGUAUUUAGACCUCGUAUAAAUACUCGAGGGACUUAAAUGUAAUUAUGUAAUAAAGGAAGGGGCAAAUAUGUAAUUAGGGGAGGAGCCCUUAUUCUAUAAAAGGGCCUCCUCACCCUCACAAAAAAAAGGCCUCCUCACAUCCCCUAAGCUCUCUCUCCCUCUUCAACAGAGAAAUACAAUACAAUCAGUGUGGACGUAGCCCAAACAUUGGGGUGAACCACGAUACAUCUUGUGUCAUUUACAUUACUUGCAGAUUCACGGUCGGAUUUACGUUGUACCAAUACCAUCCGGUUUUGUGCAUCAACAUUUGGCACCGUCUGUGGGAAACGAUACAAAAAACUAUGUUGGUUCUCUUUCAUUUUUUCAUCAAAUUUCACCACUGUGAAUCUGCAAAAUCUGCAAAAACCUAUAAACAGAAAAGAUCCAAAUUCCAACACCUGUGCUCUUCCAUCCGUCUAUGUUCUUGUAAAAGCAACAUCCAAAUUACAAAAAAACAACAUCCAAAAGCUCCUGGAAAACACCUCCACUUCUCCCUUAACCUUCACACGUGUCCAAAAGCUCCUGGAGAAAGAUUAGGGGAAGUAGCAGGCUUUUUUCGAGCUCUUCAAUGGCUGUCGACGAGAACGUGGAGAGCCGCGGCAGCCAAGCGGUGCUGUCAUCGCAGGCACAGCCAUGCAGAUUCAGGCAGAAGCUAGAGACCCACAACGAGGUGCUCCAACGAAUCCAAGCGUCUGCUUCGUUGACCCAAAACAAACCGAGUCCGCUUCUUUCCCAUCGCCGGGACCCGCGGUUCAUUGCGGCCAGUCGUCGACCUUAGCUCAAGCUCUCUGUUAACCAGGUCGAUCUCACCGGAGCUCGGGAAGCUCACUGGUCUUGAAGUGUUGAGAGCAGGAGGGAACCAGUCCCAUCGCAUGGAAGCAGCUGCCCCAAAGUCUCAUCCGCCGGAGUUCGCCAUCUCCAUCAAGAUCUCCGUCAAGUUUGCCAUCUUCUGUCUCAGAUUCUGUUGCAGGAACCCGCGAUGUCCACUCUCUCUGCUCCUCCUGCUCGCCUGAAUUUUUUUGGCGCAGUCUCACACGAAUUUUAAGAUCUGAGGAAGUUGCUGGCAUUUCUUCUCCGCUGGCCUUCCCAUUUCCUGCCCACUCCUUCUCGCCGGACCAUCCUACCUACCGCCGCGUCUUCGUCCUGCGCGACGACCUCGCCGUCGAAUCCUCCCACUCCUUGUUCUUCAAGUCCCUCCAGUCUCAAGGCUUCGAGCUCGAUUUCAUGCUUGCCGAUGAUCCCCAGAAACGGCCUCCACGGCUACGACGCCUUGAUCCUCUUUUCUCCUUCCGUCGAUUUGGUCAUGGUUUGAUCGUAUUUUCCGAACUCACCGUCGCACUUGCAGACCAAAGAAACAGAAAAAAUGAAACUCUACCUCUCACGGUGGUGAGGACAACUAUAAAUGCCGACAAAGUUUUCAGCAAUGGUUUCCACUGGUUUCCCUCACGGUGAUGAAGCUUUGUUACAACUACAAGGAGUUACUUGCAAUGGUUUCCAUCACCUUCAAACUGAAAGCAGAGCUUUCUUGCAAUGGUGGGCUCAUGAAAUACCGACAGAGCAUCAACUUGGCAGCACCGAAAAAGCAUCAACGGCAUCAACUUUGCUUGUUAGACAUUAUCCCACUAUCUGCCAGCCCACAAUCCCACUAUCCAAACCACAGAAGAUAAGUCUUCUUUUACUACAAGAUGCUGGCCACACUUUCUUAAAGCAAGAUUGUUUUAAAUUUUUUUAUUAUUAUACCUAUUCUUCAAAUAUUAGUGUGGAAGUGGGCCUCCCGGAAACCAAUGGUGAAACUCGAAGAAGCCAGGUUUUCAGCCUGCCUUUCCCCUGCCCAUGAUAAUGGAUGUACUGGACGAGACAAUCAUUCGAGAUGGGCAAUUUUUGGAUUCCCGUGACCCUUCUACUCUCUGCAUUCCUAUCUCUAACUCGUUUAUCGUGCGGGUAUGGGUACAACAAAGGUGCCAGCUUUGGCUUAUUCCCAUGCCUGACCCAAAAAACCAGUGGAUGGGUUCAUUACUCAGGAUUCCACUUAUUCUGCCUUACCAUAAAGGAAGAGGAAAAAGAAAGAGGGUAGCACUGUUAGAAAAGUGGAGGUGUGAUGAUGGGUCAUCUGUGAUGUAUCUUUAAAAGCACAAAGAGAGUGGACAACACAAAAGAAGAGAAAGUGGAGAAAGCGAGGAUAUGCAUGCAUACGCGGGCACCGCAGACAUUAUUUUUAUUUUUGUUGGUAUAUGUACUGUUGUCACCAUUUGUAUCUUCGGUAUCAUACCCAGUACAAAAAAAAAAAAAAAAAAAAAAAAACGGCAAAGCCCAAAAUUAAUGGGCUGGCGUGUCGUGGAGGGCGAAGGCCCAUAAGCCCAAAAUAGCACCAACCAGGUGACCAAAAGUAUGCCCAGUACUCCAAAAAUUAUUCGGCAACUUGCCUCUAUUAUCACCAACCAGGUGAUCAAAAGUACGCCCAGUACUCCAAAAUUAUUCGGCAACCUGCCGCUAUUACCACCAACCAGGUGAUGAAAUGUACAACCCGUACUCCAAUAUCAUUUGGCAACUAGCCAUUCAUACCACCAACCAGGUGAUGAAAUGUACAAACCGUACUCUAAAAUAAUUUGGCAACUAGCCAUUUAUGCCACCAACCAGGUGAUCAAAGGUACACCCAGUACUUCAAAAUUAUACAUGAGCACUACUCAUGUCAUUCGUACAUAGACAUUCAUGAGCAUCACUCAUAUCAAUCAUACAUAAACAUUCAUGAGCAUCACUCAUGUUAACAUCCAUGAGCAUCACUCAUGUCAAUCAAACAUUCAUGAGCAUCACUCAUGUCAAUUAAACAUUCAUGAGCAUCACUCAUGACAAUCAGCUUCAAAAGGUUCAUUUACAGAGCCUUAGCUUCAAAAACGUCAUUUACAAAAGCGCUAGCUUCAAAAGCUUCAUUUACAGAGCUCCAACUUCAAAAGCUUCAUUUACAAAAGCUCUAGCUUCAAAAGCUUCAUUUACAGAGCUCCAGCUUCAAAGCUUCACUUGCAAAGCUUCACCUACAAAGCUUCAGUGCAUGGUCUACAAAAACCACCUCCGAACAACCGCCAUUUCAGCCCAUACAUGGAUUGAAUUUGAAGUCUCCAGCCAACAGCGUCUAUUGACCGAAGACUUGGGGGACUACAUUAUGUACCAUAUAUUGGGCCUCAACUGGGCCUUAUGAAAAAUACUUGGGGGACUCUAGCCCAUUAUUCAUGUACUGAGGAGCGAGCCCUUAUUUUAUAAAAGGGACUCCCUCACCAUCAUUAGAGAGUAACGCCGCCAGCUGAGCAACCGCCUCGCCGCCAGCAUCAACUCUAGCCCAUUAUUUAUGUAUUGAGGAGCGAGCCCUUAUUCUAUAAAAGGAACUCCCUCACUUUCAUUAGAGAGCACCCAUUAUUCAUGUACUGAGGAACGAGCCCUUAUUUUAUAAAAGGGACUCCUUCACCUUCAUUAGAGAGCAACACCGCCAGCUGAGCAACCGUCUCGCCGUGAGCAUCAUUCCGAACUCAUAUUUAUGUAUUGAGGAGCAAGCCCUUAUUCUAUAAAAGGGACUCCCCUCACCACCAUUAGAGAGCAUCAACUCUAACCCAUCAUCCAUGUAUUGAGGAGUGAGCCCUUAUUCUAUAAAAAUGACUCCCUCACCUUCAAACGCCGCAAGUCGAGCUAACCAAGGCAACAUAAGCCACGAGCCGAGCAGCCUCGCAGCGUGGGCUACUUCUAGUUGAGCGUCAUUUCAGAUUGAGCACUGCCUCAUAUCGAACAUCAGUUCAAGACAGCAUCUAGUUACUUCGGCCCACACAUGGACUGAAUUUCAAGUCUCCAGCCAAAAGACUCUCCUGACUGAAGACUUGGGGGACUACUGUUUAUACCAUAUUUAGGGCCUUGUAUUUAGACCUCGUAUAAAUACUCGAGGGACUUAAAUGUAAUUAUGUAAUAAAAGAAGGGGCAAAUAUGUAAUUAGGGGAUGAG
This 6343-nucleotide long non-coding RNA is filed under the name Malus domestica (apple). Its description in RNAcentral is "long non-coding RNA (MDOM_LNC008486)". Lineage: Eukaryota; Viridiplantae; Streptophyta; Magnoliopsida; Rosales; Rosaceae. The record is from RNAcentral.